AGUCGAGCGAACGGACGAGAAUUUUGCUUCUCUGAUGUUACCGGCGGCGGGUGAGUAACACGUGGAUAACCUACCUAUAAGACUGGGAUAACUUCGGGAAACCGGAGCUAAUACCGGCAUAAUAUUUUGAACCGCAUGGUUCAAAAGUGAAAGACGGUUUGCUGUCACUUAUAGAUGGAGCGCGCUGCAUUAGCUAGUUGGUAAGGUAACGGCUUACCAAGGCAACGAUGCAUAGCCGACCUGAGAGGGUGAUCGGCCACACUGGAACUGAGACACGGUCCAGACUCCUACGGGAGGCAGCAGUG
This 305-nucleotide ribosomal RNA is filed under the name Staphylococcus aureus. RNAcentral's name for it is "bacterial SSU rRNA". It matches the Rfam family "Bacterial small subunit ribosomal RNA", at positions 60 to 356 of the family's 1533-position model. The record is from RNAcentral. Lineage: Bacteria; Bacillati; Bacillota; Bacilli; Caryophanales; Staphylococcaceae.